Molecule: ribosomal RNA, 406 nt
Filed under: uncultured bacterium
Lineage: Bacteria
Description: partial 16S ribosomal RNA
Rfam family: Bacterial small subunit ribosomal RNA
Source: RNAcentral
AUUGAACGCUGGCGGCAGGCCUAACACAUGCAAGUCGAACGCGUGGCGGACGGGUGAGUAAUGUCUGGGAAACUGCCAGAUGGCGGGGGAUAACUACUGGAAACGGUAGCUAAUACCGCAUACCAUCGGAUGUGCCCAGAUGGGAUUAGCUAGUAGGUAGGGUAAAGGCUCACCUAGGAGACGAUCCAUAGCUGGUCUGAGAGGGUGACCGGCCACACUGGAACUGAGACACGGUCCAGACUCCUACGGGAGGCAGCAGUGGGGAAUAUUGCACAAUGGGCGCAAGCCUGAUGCAGCCAUGCCGCGUGUAUGAAGAAGGCCUUCGGGUUGUAAAGUUCUUUCAGCGGGGAGGCGUUACCCGAAGAAGAAGCACCGGCUAACUCCGUGCCAGCAGCCGCGGUAAUAC